CCUACGGGUGGCAGCAGUAGGGAAUAUUGCACAAUGGGCGAAAGCCUGAUGGAGCAACGCCGCGUGGAUGAAGAAGGUCUUCGGAUCGUAAAACCCUUUUGUCAGAGAAGAAAGUGCGAGAGAGUAACUGUUCACGCAUUGACGGUAUCGUAACAGCAAGCAACGGCUAACUACGUGCCCGCAGCCGCGGUAAUACGGAGGGGGCAAGCGUUAGCCGGAAUUACUGGGCGUAAAGGGCACGCAGGCGGUAUGUGAAGUCAGAUGUGAAAGCCGUGGGCUUAACCGGGGUACUGCAUGUGAAACUGGGAUACUUGAGUGUGGUAGAGGGGAGUGGAAUUCCUGGUGUAGCGGUGAAAUGCGUAGAGAUCUGGAGGAACACCAGUGGCGAAGGCGACCCUCUGG
Molecule: ribosomal RNA, 402 nt
Filed under: uncultured bacterium
Lineage: Bacteria
Description: partial 16S ribosomal RNA
Rfam family: Bacterial small subunit ribosomal RNA
Source: RNAcentral